Molecule: small nucleolar RNA, 128 nt
Organism: Mastomys coucha (southern multimammate mouse)
Lineage: Eukaryota; Metazoa; Chordata; Mammalia; Rodentia; Muridae
Product: small nucleolar RNA SNORA17
Exons: 1
Source: RefSeq, a predicted model, not a curated record
CCUGCUCCUAGAGGCAAUGCAGGUAUGGCUGCUGUGUUACAUGUGUGUCAGUAGGUGGGAGAGAAGAGACUAUGUCUACACUCCGUGUUCUGAUCUUUGAACAGCUGAACGAUCAGUGGUCGGUCUAA